This 84-nucleotide small RNA is filed under the name Marmota monax (woodchuck). The record is from RNAcentral. Lineage: Eukaryota; Metazoa; Chordata; Mammalia; Rodentia; Sciuridae.
GGGCAUGGUGGUGCAUGCCUGUAAUCCCAGCUACUUGGGAGGCUGAGGCAGGAGAGUGGCACGUUCAAUACUAGCCUCAGCUAC